This 393-nucleotide ribosomal RNA is filed under the name uncultured bacterium. RNAcentral describes it as "partial 16S ribosomal RNA". It matches the Rfam family "Bacterial small subunit ribosomal RNA", at positions 523 to 918 of the family's 1533-position model. The record is from RNAcentral.
AUACGGAGGACGCGAGCGUUAUCCGGAUUCAUUGGGUUUAAAGGGUGCGCAGGCGGCCGUGCAAGUCAGCGGUGAAAGCCCGGGGCUCAACCCCGGAAGUGCCGUUGAUACUGCAUGGCUGGAAAGCGGUCGAGGCGGGCGGAAAGGGGGGUGGUGUGGGGGAAUGCGUAGAUAUGCCACAGAACGCCGAUAGCGGAGGCAGCUCGCCAGGCCUGCAUUGACGCUCGGGCACGAAAGCGUGGGGAUCGAACAGGAUUAGAUACCCUGGUAGUCCACGCCGUAAACGAUGGGCGCUCGUCGUCGGCGGCAGACAGUCGGCGGCCAAGCGAAAGCGAUAAGCGCCCCACCUGGGGAGUACGGUCGCAAGGCUGAAACUCAAAUGAAUUGACGGGG